CCUACGGGAGGCAGCAGUGAGGAAUAUUGGUCAAUGGACGAGAGUCUGAACCAGCCAAGUAGCGUGAAGGAUGACUGCCCUAUGGGUUGUAAACUUCUUUUAUAUGGGAAUAAAAUGUUCCACGUGUGGGAUUUUGUAUGUACCAUAUGAAUAAGGAUCGGCUAACUCCGUGCCAGCAGCCGCGGUAAUACGGAGGAUCCGAGCGUUAUCCGGAUUUAUUGGGAUUAAAGGGAGCGUAGGUGGAUUGUUAAGUCAGUUGUGAAAGUUUGCGGCUCAACCGUAAAAUUGCAGUUGAAACUGGCAGUCGUGAGUACAGUAGAGGUGGGCGGAAUUCGUGGUGUAGCGGUGAAAUGCUUAGAUAUCACGAAGAACUCCGAUUGCGAAGGCAGCUCACUGGACUGCAACUGACACUGAGGCUCGAAAGUGUGGGUAUCAAACAGGAUUAGAUACCCCUGUAGUC
RNAcentral lists this ribosomal RNA (460 nucleotides) under uncultured bacterium. RNAcentral describes it as "partial 16S ribosomal RNA". It matches the Rfam family "Bacterial small subunit ribosomal RNA", at positions 338 to 795 of the family's 1533-position model. The record is from RNAcentral.